CCUACGGGCGGCUGCAGUGGGGAAUAUUGGACAAUGGGCGAAAGCCUGAUCCAGCCAUGCCGCGUGUGUGAAGAAGGCCUUCGGGUUGUAAAGCACUUUCAGUGGGGAAGAAAGCCUUGGGGCUAAUACCCUCGAGGAAGGACAUCACCCACAGAAGAAGCACCGGCUAACUCCGUGCCAGCAGCCGCGGUAAUACGGAGGGUGCGAGCGUUAAUCGGAAUUACUGGGCGUAAAGCGCGCGUAGGCGGUCUGAUAAGCCGGUUGUGAAAGCCCCGGGCUCAACCUGGGAACGGCAUCCGGAACUGUCAGGAUAGAGUGCAGGAGAGGAAGGUAGAAUUCCCGGUGUAGCGGUGAAAUGCGUAGAGAUCGGGAGGAAUACCAGUGGCGAAGGCGGCCUUCUGGACUGACACUGACGCUGAGGUGCGAAAGCGUGGGUAGCAAACAGGAUUAGAUACCCCGGUAGUC
RNAcentral lists this ribosomal RNA (465 nucleotides) under Vreelandella stevensii. Its description in RNAcentral is "partial 16S ribosomal RNA". It matches the Rfam family "Bacterial small subunit ribosomal RNA", at positions 338 to 795 of the family's 1533-position model. Lineage: Bacteria; Pseudomonadati; Pseudomonadota; Gammaproteobacteria; Oceanospirillales; Halomonadaceae. The record is from RNAcentral.